Molecule: ribosomal RNA, 465 nt
Filed under: uncultured bacterium
Lineage: Bacteria
Description: bacterial SSU rRNA
Rfam family: Bacterial small subunit ribosomal RNA
Source: RNAcentral
CUCCUACGGGAGGCAGCAGUGGGGAAUAUUGCACAAUGGGGGAAACCCUGAUGCAGCCAUGCCGCGUGUGUGAAGAAGGCCUUCGGGUUGUAAAGCACUUUCAGUAGGGAGGAAGGUAGUGUAGUUAACACCUGCAUUAUUUGACGUUACCUACAGAAGAAGCACCGGCUAACUCCGUGCCAGCAGCCGCGGUAAUACGGAGGGUGCGAGCGUUAAUCGGAAUUACUGGGCGUAAAGCGCAUGCAGGCGGCCUGUUAAGUCAGAUGUGAAAGCCCGGGGCUUAACCUCGGAACUGCAUUCAAAACUGACUGACUAGAGUAUGGUAGAGGGUGGUGGAAUUUCCUGUGUAGCGGUGAAAUGCGUAGAUAUAGGAAGGAACACCAGUGGCGAAGGCGGCCCCCUGGACAGAUACUGACACUCAGAUGCGAAAGCGUGGGGAGCAAACAGGAUUAGAUACCCUGGUAG